This 401-nucleotide long non-coding RNA is filed under the name Capra hircus (goat). Its description in RNAcentral is "lncRNA (ENSCHIG00000006000.1)". The record is from RNAcentral. Lineage: Eukaryota; Metazoa; Chordata; Mammalia; Artiodactyla; Bovidae.
AAAUAUUCUAGCAUAAAUAUAAAAGAAAAUCAGAGAUGGGAAAGAUUGACUCACGAGAGAUUGGAGAGGUAGAUUCACACAGUGAUAGUGCAAGCAGCUUGCUUCUAAUUAAAUAUGCGACUGAGUCUCAAUGCAUUUGCUUUCAGCCGCAGAGAGAAGAAGCUGCCCAAGAAUGGAAAGGAAGAAAUAUAUCACAUCAUCUGUCUGUCCACAGGCUUUCCUUGGGGCUUAUGAAGAUUUCCUCGUGGCAGUGAUUCUUCUUCACCCCUUUGAAUUCAGAAGGAUGGCAUAGAUGCCUUCAAAAUAGUAAGUAAUGUGUGAUUUUUUUUUUCAAUUACUGUUAAUAGUUAAACAUAGUAAAGCUGAAAUUCAGUUUUUGGAGUAGUUUGGAAUCAGCAUGC